Molecule: long non-coding RNA, 1077 nt
Organism: Passer domesticus (house sparrow)
Lineage: Eukaryota; Metazoa; Chordata; Aves; Passeriformes; Passeridae
Exons: 6
Source: RefSeq, a predicted model, not a curated record
UCCCCUGGGGGGAGGCUCCUGAAAUAAAUCUGGGGAUGCUUCAGGGGUCUUUGAUGGUUUGUGAUACCUAACACAAGACAGCUGUCUCUCCUAUCAGCAUAGCUGGCUAGUUGUGCCCCAUCAGAAUGGAUGAAUAACUUCAGGCCUAUGUGUGAAUGCCCCAACACUUUCCCCAAGGGGAGUUUUACACCUGAACCAGUUGUGUUGGGGAAGCCACAGGCAUAAUAAAAAGCACCAUCCCACCUUGCAAGAUCUUCUUAUUGGGCGCUUCCCUUAUCUGGCUCAAACUCAGCUGCUGCUCACAAAGGGAGUGAGCCAGCGGCUGCGUGGGACUUCUGGCUGGGCUUAACCUGCAACACCAGUAAAAAGCAACUGCAGCUGACAUGUUUACAGGAAAAGUGGAUGAUUGGAUGUCACUAAAUGUCAUUAGAAGUUCAUUCAUCUUCUAUAAAAUAAAAUAACUAUUUCAUGAAGAGGCAGAAUGCUGAUAAAAAAGAAAUCUUUGAAAGCUGUCACAGAUGAAGAAUAUCAGCUUCCAGCACUGAAGAGGAGGUGGCACUUCACAUCCUCUCUGCACUUCCCAAGUAACCAGGGAUUACUCCACUCCAAAGUAAUUGCUAGUGGCUGGUGCCUUUGUCUCUCUCUGUCAGAAUCUUCUAGGUUAAUGGAAAGUUUGCUCUGGAAAGCUCCACAGAUUGAAACAUGAACCAAGAUCAUCUGCAAUACCACAAUAUGCAUGCUCUUGGAAGAGGAACCACAGUUUUCAAUGCUUGUUAGGCCUUCACUUCAGCCUGAGGGCAGUAAUAUCCCCUCUUUGUAGUCAAAUGAGCUUAUGUGACAUUAUCUCAAAUACUAAGAAAGGUUUUUGCAUGUAUAAAAUAACCACUGUCUAUCUUAUAACAGAUAAUUCUCUAAAACUUGCCAGCUCAAAUUCUACACGUUUUUAAUCAACACAGGUAUAAGAGGGUCAGAAUAUAGAGUGGAUGCAGUAAGCCCAAAAGAAGGAAUGAUUGUCCAUAUUUCUACCCAUCUCAAAUCCUGUGGAUGUUUGGGUGUGGAUUUAUGCUGUGUCCAAGA